AAGUCGUAACAAGGUUUCCGUAGGUGAACCUGCGGAAGGAUCAUUACUGAGUUAGGGUUCUUUUGAGCCCGAUCUCCAACCAUUUGUUAAACUACUUUGUUGCUUUGGCAGGCCUUGUCCUUUCGGGGACUGCUGGAGGAGUUUAUUCACCUCUGGACAGUGCCUGCCAGUAGCCAAAUUAAAUCCUUUUUAACUAUGUCGUCUGAUAUAUAAUUAUAAAUAUAAUUAAAAG
RNAcentral lists this unclassified non-coding RNA (232 nucleotides) under plant metagenome. RNAcentral's name for it is "partial contains small subunit ribosomal RNA and internal transcribed spacer 1". The stretch from base 1 to 46 matches the Rfam family "Eukaryotic small subunit ribosomal RNA", at positions 1786 to 1831 of the family's 1831-position model. The record is from RNAcentral.